This 803-nucleotide non-coding RNA is filed under the name Trichomonas vaginalis G3. RNAcentral's name for it is "Eukaryotic large subunit ribosomal RNA". It matches the Rfam family "Eukaryotic large subunit ribosomal RNA", at positions 175 to 1250 of the family's 3401-position model. Lineage: Eukaryota; Parabasalia; Trichomonadida; Trichomonadidae. The record is from Rfam by way of RNAcentral.
ACUGGUCUAAGUCAGAUGGAAUGCUGCGCGAUUCAGAGUAAAAGCCUCGUAUGACCAACCGCAAGCUUACGAUGGACCGGGGAGAGUCGGAUACUUUGAGAGUAGUGUCUUAAGGGGGUGGUAUGUCCCAUCCAAGGCUAAAUAACGUGAGGAGACCGAUAGAUUACAAGUAGUGUGAACGAAAGAUGAAAAGAACUCUAAAACAGAGGGUGAAAAGUUCCUGAACUUGCUUAGGGUUAAGGCUAUUUAUAGUACCCGUCUUGAAACACGGAUUAGGGAGUUUAUCUGUAGUGCGAGUCUUUGCACGUUAACUGUAAAGGCGUAGAGAAAGCAACUGGCGUUUGCAUGGCUACUGAGCAUUAUUGAUAGGACCCGAAAGGUGGUGAACUUUGCCUGCACAGGUUGAAGUCAGGGGAAACUCUGAUGGAGGACCGUACGGGUUAUUGAUGUGCAAAUCAUUUUUCUGAUGUAGGUAAAGGUGCGAAAGACUCAUCGAACCACCUAAUAGCUGGUUUCCUCCGAAGUUUCCCUCAGGAUAGCUGUAAUGCAUUUAGUUAAGGGGAGUAGAGAUAUGGGUAGAGGUGCAGGGAGCCUUCGGGUUCUCAACUUAUUUCCAAACUUCGAACCUCCUUGUUAGGCAUUUACCUAACUGGAAAUGCUUAAAUGAAUUAGCGUUACAAGUGGGCUCUGACCGGUAAGCGGUCAUGGCGAAAUGGGAUGAACCAUACGUCUGAAUAAGGUGCCGAAAUGUACUAUCACUGAUACCAUAAAGGGAGUCCAUGUAUUUAGACAGCAGGUCGGUG